GACGGAGGAUGCAAGCGUUAUCCGGAAUGAUUGGGCGUAAAGCGUCCGCAGGUGGCAGUUCAAGUCUGCUGUCAAAGCCCGGGGCUUAACUUCGGAAAGGCAGUGGAAACUGAACAGCUAGAGUAUGGUAGGGGCAGAGGGAAUUCCUGGUGUAGCGGUGAAAUGCGUAGAUAUCAGGAAGAACAUCGGUGGCGAAGGCGCUCUGCUGGACCAUAACUGACACUCAGGGACGAAAGCUAGGGGAGCGAAUGGG
Molecule: ribosomal RNA, 253 nt
Filed under: uncultured bacterium
Lineage: Bacteria
Description: partial 16S ribosomal RNA
Rfam family: Bacterial small subunit ribosomal RNA
Source: RNAcentral